UGGGGAAUAUUGGACAAUGGGCGAAAGCCUGAUCCAGCCAUGCCGCGUGUGUGAAGAAGGUCUUCGGAUUGUAAAGCACUUUAAGUUGGGAGGAAGGGCAGUAAGCGAAUACCUUGCUGUUUUGACGUUACCGACAGAAUAAGCACCGGCUAACUCUGUGCCAGCAGCCGCGGUAAUACAGAGGGUGCAAGCGUUAAUCGGUAUUACUGGGCGUAAAGCGCGCGUAGGUGGUUCGUUAAGUUGAAUGUGAAAGCCCCGGGCUCAACCUGGGAACUGCAUCCAAAACUGGCGAGCUAGAGUAGGGCAGAGGGUGGUGGAAUUUCCUGUGUAGCGGUGAAAUGCGUAGGUAUAGGAAGGAACACCAGUGGCGAAGGCGACCACCUGGGCUCAUACUGACACUGAGGUGCGAAAGCGUGGGGAGCAAACAGG
Molecule: ribosomal RNA, 429 nt
Filed under: Pseudomonadota bacterium
Lineage: Bacteria; Pseudomonadati; Pseudomonadota
Description: Proteobacteria bacterium partial 16S ribosomal RNA
Rfam family: Bacterial small subunit ribosomal RNA
Source: RNAcentral